UACAGAGACUGCAAGCGUUAUUCGGAUUCACUGGGCGUAAAGGGUGCGCAGGCGGCCGAGUGUGUGAGGCGUGAAAGCCCGGGGCUUAACCCCGGAAUUGCACCUCAAACUACACGGCUAGAGCAUUGGAGAGGGUAGCAGAAUUCACGGUGUAGCAGUGAAAUGCGUAGAUAUCGUGAGGAAUACCAGAGGCGAAGGCGGCUACCUGGACAAUUGCUGACGCUCAGGCACGAAAGCGUGGGGAGCGAACAGG
RNAcentral lists this ribosomal RNA (253 nucleotides) under uncultured bacterium. Its description in RNAcentral is "partial 16S ribosomal RNA". It matches the Rfam family "Bacterial small subunit ribosomal RNA", at positions 524 to 776 of the family's 1533-position model. The record is from RNAcentral.